CCUAUGUUUCCAUCAAAAACGGAUUGUUGUUGUCCCUCCGUCUCAACUUGUGGUAAUUGAGUGUUAGAAUUGCUCUCUUUAUCUAUCGAUUGUUGAGGCCCAUUAUUAAUAGGAACAUUCGAUUCCGAUUCAAAUACUUGAGGAGCUUUUGUUGGUGACAUCUGUUUAUAUCCAUCCGCAUUGGAUUCGAGAAUCUUCAUGAGUGACUCUCUCAUUUUGUCAAUCAAUGGUAAAAGUCUUCUGGUGACGCAUUCGUGAGCCAAUGCUUCUAUUGAUUCUCGGGCGACAGAAAUAUGAAUCAGUAAGUUGGUAUUUUUAGUUAAAAGAGCUGCAAAAAUAAGUGUAACAAUUGUGCUAAAUCCACAAUAAACGGUAGUCCAGUAAUAUCUGUCUAACGUACGUUUAAGACCCUUGGAAAGGUGACUUAAAUUUUGAACACAUACAAUAGCAGAGUCGACGCAUUUACACGCCAAAGUGAAGGCGGUUUGUCGAUCUGGCACCUUAAGUGCUUGCAUUGCUGGACUGUCAGCUUCAAGGUAAUGUAGGAGAGGUCGGUAGAUUAACAUUCUAAAAGAAUAAUACACCAACUG
This is a non-coding RNA of Schizosaccharomyces pombe (fission yeast), 590 nucleotides long. NCBI's taxonomy places the organism in Eukaryota, Fungi, Ascomycota, Schizosaccharomycetes, Schizosaccharomycetales, Schizosaccharomycetaceae. The record is from the annotation of a GenBank genome assembly.